This 583-nucleotide ribosomal RNA is filed under the name Nicrophorus apo. Its description in RNAcentral is "eukaryotic LSU rRNA". It matches the Rfam family "Eukaryotic large subunit ribosomal RNA", at positions 583 to 900 of the family's 3401-position model. The record is from RNAcentral. Lineage: Eukaryota; Metazoa; Arthropoda; Insecta; Coleoptera; Silphidae.
UUCUUGGUCGGCUGAGCAUUUGCCCUGCCCGAGUAGAAACACUGCGAGCCGUUGGAUGGGCGUCGAUGGCUGGUGACAAUUUCGUUUGGGGUUUCGGCCUCUUUUCGAGCGCGCCGCGCUUGGCCUCGUCCGACGGUGAAUCGAUGACGCGAGCCCGCACCUCAUCGUGCGUUCGGCUCUCGACAAGCGGCGGCGGUGUUCCGGCAGUUCGGUGCUUCGGCCCCGACGUCGGUCCCGUCACGUUAUUAGUCGGGAUGCUCUCGGACCGUGGCUCCGUCGUUCGCCAGUGAGUUUGGCCGCAGGCACCCUCAGGACCCGUCUUGAAACACGGACCAAGGAGUCUAGCAUGUAUGCGAGUCUCAAGGGAACUCUAUACCCUCAGGCGCAGUUAACGCAAAUGACGCUUCGGUCCUAAUGGAGGAUAGGUGACCGUACGCGGUCGCCUCGCACUCCUGGGGCGUUCCGAUCUCGUUGAGAUGGAGCGCACCAAGAGCACACAUGCUGGGACCCGAAAGAUGGUGAACUAUGCCCGGUCAGAAGAAGCCUCUGAUGGAGGUUCGUAGCGAUUCUGACGUGCAAAUCA